GAUGAACGCUGGCGGCGUUCCUAAUACAUGCAAGUCGAGCGAACAGACGAGGAGCUUGCUCCUUUUACGUUAGCGGCGGACGGGUGAGUAACACGUUGGUAACCUACCUAUAAGACUGGGAUAACUUCGGGAAACCGGAGCUAAUACCGGAUAAUAUUUCGAACCGCAUUGUUCGAUAGUGAAAGAUGGCUCUGCUAUCACUUAUAGAUGUACCUGCGCCGUAUUAGCUAGUUGGUAAGGUAACGGCUUACCAAGGCAACGAUACGUAGCCGACCUGAGAGGGUGAUCGGCCACACUGGAACUGAGACACGGUCCAGACUCCUACGGGAGGCAGCAGUAGGGAAUCUUCCGCAAUGGGCGAAAGCCUGACGGAGCAACGCCGCGUGAGUGAUGAAGGUCUUCGGAUCGUAAAACUCUGUUAUUAGGGAAGAACAAAAGUGGAAGUAACUGUGCACGUCUUGACGGUACCUAAUCAGAAAGCCACGGCUAACUACGUG
RNAcentral lists this ribosomal RNA (497 nucleotides) under uncultured bacterium. RNAcentral describes it as "partial 16S ribosomal RNA". It matches the Rfam family "Bacterial small subunit ribosomal RNA", at positions 28 to 507 of the family's 1533-position model. The record is from RNAcentral.